RNAcentral lists this ribosomal RNA (877 nucleotides) under uncultured Bacteroidota bacterium. RNAcentral's name for it is "bacterial SSU rRNA". It matches the Rfam family "Bacterial small subunit ribosomal RNA", at positions 8 to 884 of the family's 1533-position model. The record is from RNAcentral. Lineage: Bacteria; Pseudomonadati; Bacteroidota.
AGAGUUUGAUCCUGGCUCAGGAUGAACGCCAGCGGCAGGCUUAACACAUGCAAGUCGAGGGGUAACAGGGAAGCUUGCUUCCGCUGACGACCGGCGCACGGGUGCGUAACGCGUAUGCAACCUACCUCAUACUGGAGAAUAGCCCUUGGAAACGAGGAUUAAUGCUCCAUAGUAUCACAGAUUCGCAUGUUUCUGUGAUUAAAGAAUUUCGGUAUGAGAUGGGCAUGCGUCCCAUUAGCUUGUUGGUGAGGUAACGGCUCACCAAGGCAACGAUGGGUAGGGGGCCUGAGAGGGUGACCCCCCACACUGGUACUGAGACACGGACCAGACUCCUACGGGAGGCAGCAGUGAGGAAUAUUGGGCAAUGGAGGCAACUCUGACCCAGCCAUGCCGCGUGAAGGAUGACUGCCCUAUGGGUUGUAAACUUCUUUUAUAUGGGAAGAAACUUAUCUACGUGUAGAUAACUGACGGUACCAUACGAAUAAGGAUCGGCUAACUCCGUGCCAGCAGCCGCGGUAAUACGGAGGAUCCAAGCGUUAUCCGGAUUCAUUGGGUUUAAAGGGUCCGUAGGCGGGUCUUUAAGUCAGUGGUGAAAGCCGACAGCUCAACUGUCGAACUGCCAUUGAUACUGGAGACCUUGAGUACAAAUGAAGUAGGCGGAAUGAGUCAUGUAGCGGUGAAAUGCAUAGAUAUGACUCAGAACACCGAUUGCGAAGGCAGCUUACUAACAUGUAACUGACGCUGAGGGACGAAAGCGUGGGGAGCGAACAGGAUUAGAUACCCUGGUAGUCCACGCCGUAAACGAUCAUCACUCGCUGUUGGCGAUAUACUGUCAGCGGCCAAGCGAAAGUAUUAAGUGAUGCACCUGGGGAGUACG